Molecule: ribosomal RNA, 440 nt
Filed under: uncultured bacterium
Lineage: Bacteria
Description: partial 16S ribosomal RNA
Rfam family: Bacterial small subunit ribosomal RNA
Source: RNAcentral
CCUACGGGAGGCAGCAGUGGGGAAUAUUGCACAAUGGGGGAAACCCUGAUGCAGCGACGCCGCGUGAGUGAAGAAGUAAUUCGUUAUGUAAAGCUCUAUCAGCAGGGAAGAAAAUGACGGUACCUGAGUAAGAAGCCCCGGCUAACUACGUGCCAGCAGCCGCGGUAAGACGUAGGGGGCAAGCGUUAUCCGGAUUUACUGGGUGUAAAGGGAGCGUAGACGGCAGUGCAAGUCUGGAGUGAAAGGCGGGGGCUCAACCCCCGGACUGCUCUGGAAACUGUACGGCUGGAGUGCAGGAGAGGUAAGUGGAAUUCCUAGUGUAGCGGUGAAAUGCGUCGAUAUUAGGAGGAACACCAGUGGCGAAGGCGGCUUACUGGACUGUAACUGACGUUGAGGCUCGAAAGCGUGGGGAGCAAACAGGAUUAGAUACCCGUGUAGUC